Molecule: ribosomal RNA, 277 nt
Filed under: uncultured Burkholderiales bacterium
Lineage: Bacteria; Pseudomonadati; Pseudomonadota; Betaproteobacteria; Burkholderiales
Description: partial 16S ribosomal RNA
Rfam family: Bacterial small subunit ribosomal RNA
Source: RNAcentral
GUGCCAGCAGCCGCGGUAAUACGUAGGGUGCGGGCGUUAAUCGGAAUUACUGGGCGUAAAGCGUGCGCAGGCGGCUUUGCAAGACAGAGGUGAAAUCCCCGGGCUCAACCUGGGAACUGCCUUUGUGACUGCAAGGCUAGAGUACGGCAGAGGGGGAUGGAAUUCCGCGUGUAGCAGUGAAAUGCGUAGAUAUGCGGAGGAACACCGAUGGCGAAGGCAAUCCCCUGGGCCUGUACUGACGCUCAUGCACGAAAGCGUGGGGAGCAAACAGGAUUAG